UCAGCAGGGCUGCUGGUGUCUCACGACUACGAUAAGCGCGUGCCCAGGUACACCGCUCUGCUGUCAACAAAAAGAGCCCCCAGAGCCGAGCAAACAGACAGGCUUCAUUUUAAUUUAAGACACUUUUAUGUUGCUCGUUGAGUUUUAUUCCCUAUCUUAGACUUUUAAAAAAUAAUUUUCGCUCGAGCUGUUGUGUGGGUUACCUGUCCCGUUAGGUGUGGAUGAGACGCGCUGAGGAAACGUUACUCAAACUUUACCUGAACAACUAGAAGGCAAGAUAAGGGACUUUGGCUGUCACUGGGAUGAUAGUGAGGUGGUCUGGAGUCUGGAUUGAAGGAGCAUGGUGAAGCACCAACCUCUACAGGUCUAUGAGAGACAGUUGUGUUUGUCAUGUCUGACCGGGAUCUACGGUUGCCGCUGGAAACGCUACCAGCGGUCACAUGAUGACACCACCAAGUGGGAGUGUUUGUGGACCUUCAUACUGUUUGGCACUUUCUCCUUGUUAUUGGUCUGGUUUUAUUUCUGGUUGGAAGCCCACAAUGACUACAGCGAGUUUAACUGGUUUUUAUACAACCGUUCAGGGGAGUGGAGUGAUGGAACUGUUCCCAUACUUGCCACCACAGCAGCUGGCUUCACCUAUAUUGCAUUUUUAAUGAUUUUAGCUCUGUGUCAUGUAGCUGUCGGUCAGCAGUUAAAUUUGCACUGGCUCCACAAGAUUGGUGUGACGGUUGCUUUGCUCACAACAACAAUUGGCGUUAUAUCGGUCACUCAGAUGUGGGGAGAAGAAUGGGAUGUAGUUUGGAUUUCCCUUCAGGCCACAGGUCCGUUCUUGCACAUUGGUGCUUUAGCUGCGGUCACAGCUUUGGCCUGGCUGGUAGCUGGACAGGUGGCACGAGCAGAGAAAACCAGCUUCCAGGUGAUGGUUCUCCUCAUCUACCUGAGCGUUCUCCUCACACUCUACUUCAUUCCUCUGUCGAUCACCUCACCCUGCAUCAUGGACCGCGGGAGUCUCAAAUCAGCCCCCGCCAUCAUCGGCCAUCAAGGAGCUCCAAUGAUAGCACCGGAAAACACUCUCCUGUCCUUCAACAGAGCUCUACAGAGAAACGUAGGCGGCCUGGAGGCGGAUGUGGCCAUCAGUCUAGAUGGUGUGCCAUUCCUCAUGAGAGACCGGACGUUGAGAAGAACCACAGAUGUCGAAAAAGUGUUUCCAGAGAGACAGUACCAUGAUGCUUCACUUUUCAACUGGACUGACCUGCGCUCUCUGAACGCUGGCCAGUGGUUUAUUAAGGAUGAUCCUUUCUGGACCGUGAAGUACAUGUCAGUGUCUGAACGCUGGUUAGUGGGGAACCAGACAGUGUGCAGCCUCGAGGACAUGCUCAAACUAGCUGCUCGGUCCACAACCUCCGCCGUAUUCACACUGCGUAGACCGCCGCCUGGCCACCCCCACCACCUCGACUGGGUCAACCUCACCCUAGACACUGUCCUAAAGUCAGGAAUACCACAGCAGCAGGUGAUGUGGACUGUGGACAGUGACAGAGAGAUGGUAAGGCAGGUGGCUCCAGAUUUACAGCAGACCUCUUUGCAAAAGUUGCCCUUCAAUACACUUCAUCAUAAAGGCAUCAGUGGAGUCCUGCUGCGCUACAAUCAAGCAUCUGCCGAAGACAUCCGGCUAUAUAAUGAACAAAACAUCAGUGUUGUACUGUAUUCGGUGAAUGAGCCGUGGCUGUAUUCUCUGCUGUGGUGCAGCGGGGUGCCGACAGUCUCCUCUGAAGCGCCGCAGGUGUUGGGGAAGCUGCACUCUCCACUUUGGCUCAUGACUCCAGAUGAGUACUGUUUGAUAUGGAUCUUCACUGAUCUCAUCUCCUUUGCUGUAGUUUUGGGAAUAUUUGUAUUCCAAAACUAUCACUUGAUCAGGUGGAGAAUGAGUGGCAUGCGUAGCUACAACCCAGAGCAGAUCAUGCUGAGCGCAGCCGUCAGAAGAUCCAGCAGAGAUGUCAACAUCAUGAAGGAGAAGCUCAUCUUCUCUGGUAAGAGCCUUCGUGCUGGUUUUUAUUUAAUACCGUGUGUAGUUUGUGCAUGUGUCCCAAAUGUAUUUGCAUGCCUGUGUGUUUUUUCUUUUUAAACCUCAUUUUUAAGGUCAGCCACAGUAGCUGUCUAUUCCCCGGGUUUGAGUCUUCUACUGUCACCCCAUCUAUGGUCGCAUCCUUCCAUCCCGUUCAAUCUCAUCCCUCCCUUCUCCCUCCUGUUUGUCACUGUCUGCCACCAUCCCAUCUCUUUCUGCAUCCAUCAAUCCAUAUUCAGCUGACAUCCCUCCACUUUGACGGCUCAUGCAGAGUUGUAACAUCAAUGACUUGGUAACUGGGGUCUGCAUGUGAGGUGAGCAAUGGAGUCAACACAGAUGAACCGUAUAUGGAUAAUGGAUUUAACUUCUAAACCAAUGAAGUCGAUUGGUUGUUUGACCGAUGGACCAAAAGACACAGGACACAUUGAUCUGAGAGUUAUGAUUUUUCUGAAAAUUAUAUUGCGUCCUGAAUCAGUUUGUUUUGGCAUCUCUUCUGAACUACUAAAUCGACUCCUAGUCACCCGUUUAUGACGGACCCCUGUACAGAAAGUUUUUUUGUUUCUUCUGCUGUUUAGUUGCUUGUUCUUUACUUCUGCACCCAAACAGAAGUGUUCAGUUUUAAAGUUCAAAGUGCAGUUCGACUGUUGUUGACUUUUACCAAAUUUGUGGCCUCUGUCCCCACUAAAUGCUUGAGUAAAUGCUCAUUACUUGCUUCGUAUUGAAAGCAUGCCUGUAACAUAGGGGUUUUAUUUGUCGUUUUUUGGGGAUUUUAUUUUAUUUUAAUCUUCCAUAGACAGCUGGUGUUUAAUAUAACAUAUGUCAAUUUUUAGUUUAGUUUUUUUUAUUUUGUGUGAUAUUCACAGUCUGAUGAUGCCUUCUGUUCAAACUGGUGUGAAUUUAACGAAUGAGGAAACAGGUGUUUACACCGUGCCUGCCUUUAUCCUUUCAGUGGUGUUAACUUAGUUAGCAAAGCUAACAUUUUGCAUGUGGUUCAGCGGUAUCACUUUUGGAGGCGAUCACACAGCCUUACAGUGUAGGUCUUUGAUAUGCCAUUUUAAACAGUAUGGAAAAUGGUGGCACAUAUUUUGAUUUCUUAUAUCUGUGGUUUAUUAACGAUUGAUAACUUGAUAUUAGCGACACAUUCGGGUGACAUUGGGAAAAUGAAAACUUUAGUAGCUAAACACUGUUUAUAAGGAAUUUUAAUGCAGUGCAAUAUUACAUUUUAAAUAACACUGUUCAAGAUUUAAUGAGUCUGAAUAUUAUUCAGUAAUUUUUUAAGUUGUCAUUUUAUUUUUUCCUCCUAAGCCUUUUGUUUAUUAAAUGGCAUUUAAUGUAUUAAGUACCUUGUACAGGGCUUCCCACGAGAUCAUGACCCCUCCAUUCAUAUUGUAAAUGUAAGACGUGACAUUGUUUACAGUGGAUUGUGGCGUCAGAGGACAGAGGUUAAAUGAUAAGUUUUUUGUAUUGAUGUGUUUCAGGGGUUAAUCAAUAAAACUGCUGGUUUUACA
RNA transcript from Misgurnus anguillicaudatus (oriental weatherfish), 3570 nucleotides. It is a transcript of the gene named glycerophosphodiester phosphodiesterase domain containing 5b, with no coding region annotated. NCBI's taxonomy places the organism in Eukaryota, Metazoa, Chordata, Actinopteri, Cypriniformes, Cobitidae. The record is from RefSeq and is a predicted model, not a curated record.